RNAcentral lists this ribosomal RNA (458 nucleotides) under uncultured bacterium. RNAcentral describes it as "bacterial SSU rRNA". It matches the Rfam family "Bacterial small subunit ribosomal RNA", at positions 22 to 475 of the family's 1533-position model. The record is from RNAcentral.
GCUCAGAUUGAACGCUGGCGGCAUGCUUUACACAUGCAAGUCGAACGGCAGCGGGGGCUUCGGCCUGCCGGCGAGUGGCGAACGGGUGAGUAACGCAUCGGAACGUGCCCAUGUCGUGGGGGAUAACGUAUCGAAAGCUACGCUAAUACCGCAUACGCCCUGAGGGAGAAAGCGGGGGAUUCUUCGGAACCUCGCGCGAUUGGAGCGGCCGAUGUCGGAUUAGCUAGUAGGUGAGGUAAAGGCUCACCUAGGCGACGAUCCGUAGCGGGUCUGAGAGGAUGAUCCGCCACACUGGGACUGAGACACGGCCCAGACUCCUACGGGAGGCAGCAGUGGGGAAUUUUGGACAAUGGGCGCAAGCCUGAUCCAGCCAUGCCGCGUGAGUGAAGAAGGCCUUCGGGUUGUAAAGCUCUUUCGGCCGGGAAGAAAUCGUGUUCUCUAACAUAGGACAUGGAUGA